AUUGAACGCUGGCGGCAGGCCUAACACAUGCAAGUCGAGCGGAUGAAGGGAGCUUGCUCCUGGAUUCAGCGGCGGACGGGUGAGUAAUGCCUAGGAAUCUGCCUGGUAGUGGGGGAUAACGUCCGGAAACGGGCGCUAAUACCGCAUACGUCCUGAGGGAGAAAGUGGGGGAUCUUCGGACCUCACGCUAUCAGAUGAGCCUAGGUCGGAUUAGCUAGUUGGUGGGGUAAAGGCCUACCAAGGCGACGAUCCGUAACUGGUCUGAGAGGAUGAUCAGUCACACUGGAACUGAGACAGGGUCCAGACUCCUACGGGAGGCCGCAGUGGGGAAUAUUGGACGAUGGGCGAGAGCCUGAUCCAGCCAUGCCGCGUGUGUGAAGAAGGUCUUCGGAUUGUAAAGCACUUUAAGUUGGGAGGAAGGGAAGUAAGUUAAUACCUUACUGUUUUGACGUUACCAACAGAAUAAGCACCGGCUAACUUCGUG
RNAcentral lists this ribosomal RNA (484 nucleotides) under uncultured bacterium. RNAcentral's name for it is "partial 16S ribosomal RNA". It matches the Rfam family "Bacterial small subunit ribosomal RNA", at positions 30 to 507 of the family's 1533-position model. The record is from RNAcentral.